This is a long non-coding RNA of Carassius gibelio (silver crucian carp), 1957 nucleotides long. RefSeq lists it as uncharacterized. The transcript has 8 exons. The record is from RefSeq and is a predicted model, not a curated record. NCBI's taxonomy places the organism in Eukaryota, Metazoa, Chordata, Actinopteri, Cypriniformes, Cyprinidae.
UUGACCGUCUGCCGCAGGAUCAUAUAUUUCUCCGUGCAAUUCGCUAACAGGGGUCCAUUGUUCAUUCCAGUCAUAGUUUUGCAGAAGAAAAAUACAUUUUAGUGAUUAAAUCAAAAAUGGCUGAAGCAAGUGAAAACUGGGAUGAAGAAGACAGUGUGAUCAACAUUCUCAAAAACUGUAGUAUCCAAAAAACGCGACUGCAACAGUUAGAUGGUAACUCUGAGGAAAGAACAGCAACAGGAAGGACUUUUGUGGAAUUGCCUUGUGGUCAUCGAAGGCCAGCACAUUACAUCAUCGCUUGGUUCAAGUAUUAUCUUAAACAGAGAGAGCCUGAGUUCAGCUGUCCUGCGUUUAAUGAGGGCCGGCGGAGAUCCUGUGGACUGAAGCUGUCUUAUCCGUCCGUCUGUCGACUGAUGUCCAGCAAACAGAGGCAGAUCUUAGAGGAGAACCUCAGUCUUCUCACUGCUAGAAAGCUGUUGGAGUUGGAUUUGAAAACCAUGAAUUCCUCACAGGGAUAGUUUAACACCAAAUCAAAUGACACCUUCAUUCACUUUCACCAGGCUUGAUUUCUGAGUGAACUAUCUCUUUACAGUAUACACAGUUUAGUUAUCUGUCACACUGUAAUCCGAAGCGGUUUCUGAAGUGUCCUGUCCUACGUGGAAAGACGAGAUCAGACAAACCUGUGUGUGCACUGCACCAUCUGCACAGCCACCAACAAACACACAUACUACUUCUGCUGGAGCUGCCGGAGCCUACCCAUAAUGCACUGCGCUGCAGCAACAACAGCUGUGGACAGGAAGCGAUAACUGACGAUUCUUUGGUGCCAUGCACACCUGAAUUUAAAGAGAAGAAGCUUUUAAAAAAAGGCAAUGUUAUUUACCCGAUGAAGGACAAGUCCUCUGACAGAAAACAUUACCUAUGUGGAGUUUGAAUAUGGAGAUGAUCGGGUCGAGAGCGACUGCUGAAGGCUCUCGGUUACACUGUGCACACACUGAGAGACCUCACAGCACAGGUAAUGAUGGAUGUGUGGAUGUCCAGGACGGCACGCCAAAGACCGAGCAACGAGAGAAAGACUUCUGCUGCCUGAGGUCCUCCACUCCCGAUACUGUUUCCUACAGGAAUCCUGACAGAGGCUCAGAUUUCAUCCAAGAUAUCGUGGAGAUAUUUAAAAAGCAUGCUCAUGAGGAUCACAUCGAGGAGCUUUUCAGGAAGCAAUGCCACUAUCAACUACUUUCAGAGAUGUAUUGUUAUAACUCAGCUCUUAGGUCCUGUGCUAAACGUGUGUGGUAUGACCCUUUCUUUUUUGGUUGACUGGUCAGUAUGUGUAGCUGGUCUGUUGAUAGGAGUUUUCCUCUUGUUAACAGGUCCUUCAGAAGAAGUUUAAGGAGCAUCAUCCGUGUCAGAUGCCGUGCAAAGACAGAACAACACUAUCUUAAGAAGUUCUACCUCUUCCCGGGGCUGUGAAACACAACCAGAUCUGAUUACUAUUAUGUCCUCUUAUUUAAGAAUUGUGUGUAGAAAUGAAAAUUAGAAAUUAAAUCCUCAAUAAAAACAUUUCAGUCACACAGUAUAUAUAUAUCAGUGAGAUACCAGUUUUAUUUUCUGUGAACAGCUGUAAAUCUGCAUCACAGUAGUUGACUGGUGAUAGUUGCUUGUUUGACGAAUACAAUACGCUUUCGUAAGAUACAUGGAGAAUUAUAAAUCAGAGCAGAAACUGGUGAACGAACUGAUGACGAAUGAUUCAGUGAUGUCAUCAUCCAGUUCAGCUCUCGUCCAAUAGUGUCCGUGCAAUCAGUCAACUUCGGUGAUAGAAAAUGGAGAGAAACCCUUGGGAUUUCGAUGUCCGAGUACAGACAUUAUAUAAUAUUUAACAGAUCAGCAGUUCCUGUACACAUGUACAUAAACUAUGAUUCACAUUUUAAACUGAAUGCACAUUAAUUAAAACUUUUACAAAUUA